This is a non-coding RNA of Dipodomys ordii (Ord's kangaroo rat), 67 nucleotides long. The record is from Rfam. NCBI's taxonomy places the organism in Eukaryota, Metazoa, Chordata, Mammalia, Rodentia, Heteromyidae.
GGGAAGGUGGCUCAGUGGUAGAGUGCUUGCCUUGCAUGCAUGAGGCCAUGAGUUUGAUUCCUUACCA